This 253-nucleotide ribosomal RNA is filed under the name uncultured bacterium. Its description in RNAcentral is "partial 16S ribosomal RNA". It matches the Rfam family "Bacterial small subunit ribosomal RNA", at positions 524 to 776 of the family's 1533-position model. The record is from RNAcentral.
UACAGAGGUCUCAAGCGUUGUUCGGAUUCAUUGGGCGUAAAGGGUGCGUAGGCGGCGCGGUAAGUCGGGUGUGAAAUCUCGGGGCUUAACUCCGAAACUGCAUUCGAUACUGCCGUGCUUGAGGACUGGAGAGGAGACUGGAAUUUACGGUGUAGCGGUGAAAUGCGUAGAUAUCGUAAGUAAGACCAGUGGCGAAGGCGGGUCUCUGGACAGUUCCUGACGCUGAGGCACGAAGGUCAGGGGAGCAAACGGG